This 31-nucleotide non-coding RNA is filed under the name Mus musculus (house mouse). Lineage: Eukaryota; Metazoa; Chordata; Mammalia; Rodentia; Muridae. The record is from RNAcentral.
UGGAUUAUAGAAAUUUACAUCACAGUCAAGC